This 253-nucleotide ribosomal RNA is filed under the name uncultured bacterium. RNAcentral's name for it is "partial 16S ribosomal RNA". It matches the Rfam family "Bacterial small subunit ribosomal RNA", at positions 524 to 776 of the family's 1533-position model. The record is from RNAcentral.
UACAGAGGUCUCAAGCGUUGUUCGGAUUCAUUGGGCGUAAAGGGCGCGUAGGCGGCGCGGCAAGUCGGGUGUGAAAUCUCGGAGCUUAACUCCGAAACUGCAUUCGAUACUGCCGUGCUUGAGGACUGGAGAGGAGACUGGAAUUUACGGUGUAGCGGUGAAAUGCGUAGAUAUCGUAAGGAAGACCAGUGGCGAAGGCGGGUCUCUGGACAGUUCCUGACGCUGAGGCACGAAGGUCAGGGGAGCAAACGGG